AACCGUGCAAAGGUAGCGUAAUCACUUGUCCCCUAAUUAGGGACCCGUAUGAAAGGCUAAAUGAGGAUAAAACUGUCUCUUGAGACCAAUCAAUGAAACUGAUCUCUCAGUACAAAAGCUGAGAUAUAACUAUAAGACGAGAAGACCCUGCGGAGCUUCAAGCCAAAAUACUACUGCCCCUACAACACAAACCCCGCCGGGGUCAAAACCCCACAAUAGUAAAGGGCUUUCAGUUGGGGCGACUGCGGAGAAAAACCAAACCUCCAUGAAAUAAGGCUAGACACCACCACAAAACACACAUGUUACCAGGUUAAACACUUGACCCAGCACAGCUGAUCAUCGAACCAAGUUACCCCAGGGAUAACAGCGCCAUCCCCCUCAAGAGUCCCUAUCGCCAGGGGGGUUUACGACCUCGAUGUUGGAUCAGGACGCCCAGGUGGUGAAGCCGCUACCAAAGGUUCGUUUGUUCAACGAUUAAUGUCCUACGUGAU
RNAcentral lists this ribosomal RNA (491 nucleotides) under Afroedura karroica. RNAcentral describes it as "partial 16S ribosomal RNA". It matches the Rfam family "Bacterial large subunit ribosomal RNA", at positions 1944 to 2604 of the family's 2925-position model. Lineage: Eukaryota; Metazoa; Chordata; Lepidosauria; Squamata; Gekkonidae. The record is from RNAcentral.